AGGAAGGCUUCCACGGGCAACCGUUCGGGGGCCUUUUUCUUUUGC
RNAcentral lists this antisense RNA (45 nucleotides) under Rhizobium sp. BK491. RNAcentral describes it as "ctRNA". It matches the Rfam family "ctRNA". From Rfam's summary of the family: This family represents a group of ctRNAs (or counter-transcribed RNAs) from p42d and related plasmids. ctRNAs are small, highly structured, antisense sequences which are involved in negative regulation. Lineage: Bacteria; Pseudomonadati; Pseudomonadota; Alphaproteobacteria; Hyphomicrobiales; Rhizobiaceae. The record is from RNAcentral.